GUGUUACUGCGAAGGGGGGACGGAGAAGGCUAUGUUAGCCGGGCGACGGUUGUCCCGGUUUAAGCAUGUAGGCGGAGGUUCCAGGUAAAUCCGGUACCUUUUAACGCUGAGGUGUGAUGACGAGGCACUACGGUGCUGAAGUAACAAAUGCCCUGCUUCCAGGAAAAGCCUCUAAGCAUCAGGUAACAUUAAAUCGUACCCCAAACCGACACAGGUGGUCAGGUAGAGAAUACCAAGGCGCUUGAGAGAACUCGG
Molecule: ribosomal RNA, 255 nt
Filed under: Klebsiella aerogenes
Lineage: Bacteria; Pseudomonadati; Pseudomonadota; Gammaproteobacteria; Enterobacterales; Enterobacteriaceae
Description: partial 23S ribosomal RNA
Rfam family: Bacterial large subunit ribosomal RNA
Source: RNAcentral